Long non-coding RNA from Hypomesus transpacificus, 985 nucleotides. RefSeq lists it as uncharacterized. The record is from RefSeq and is a predicted model, not a curated record. The transcript is spliced from 3 exons. Lineage: Eukaryota; Metazoa; Chordata; Actinopteri; Osmeriformes; Osmeridae.
CCCGGAGACAGCGCGAGGGAUAAAUGCAAGCUGCAUAGACAAUGAGGAGAGCGUGAGGGUUAACGGCUCCUCCGUGUGGUAGCUAGUGGUAGACUGUGAUUCAAAACGAAAAUGUUAAGUCCUGAGGUGUGUGUGGUCUGUUUUUUGUGAGGACGGACUAUUUCCCCGGAUUACAGCCAGUGUAAAUUCCAAUAGUGGGUUUAAUGAAGACAUUUUAGAGUCAACAUUCUAGCACCAGAGGAGGGGUGUUCAUGAACCCUUGUGCUACCUUUGGGGAAACGUUAUUUAAGUGUUAGAAACAUCAUUAAUCUGCAACCAUGUCUACAGAUGUGAGAGGUUUAAGCUACGCUAUUCACUGGUGAUGCAACACUCCUAGUCGAUAUUAUACUGUCCGAAAUACCAACCUUCCUGUCCCUGCUGUCACGUCGAAAGCGGUUAAUGAGCAGCAUGAUUACAUUGUUGCCUCUAUGUCUCUAGUGGUAACCGCCUAUCAGUAUUCUACAUUGCCCUUAUGACUGGGAAUGUAACUUAAUAUAAUAAAACAUUCUUUAUACCAGAGUUUAUCUGGUACGUUCGAUUAAGACCUGUGUGAUUGUUCAACUAUUUUGUUUAAUACCACUUGAAGACAGUGAACAAAUCUGUACACCUACAUACACUUUCUAACAACCCAACAACCCAGGGGCACCGCACCAUGGACAGCGUUCCAGUAGAAACCACCGGCACCUUGGAGAGCGGCACGACAAGCCCGGAUCGAGGCCAUGAGGGGGAGGCCGCCACAGCAGGAGACAACGAGCAAAACAGUAAGGAGUGUGAGGUAGAGACGAGACCGGCCUGAACAGUCAAGACCAAGUGCUGUGCUGUUCGGUCCUGCCUACGGCCCUUGGUGGCUACAACUUUUAUACACAUUAAACCAAUAAAACAUGCUUCACAAGUUUAUAAGGUACAUUCAACAAUUUUGUUUAAUAAAGCAACAUCGUUUCAACAG